This 1242-nucleotide ribosomal RNA is filed under the name uncultured Acinetobacter sp. Its description in RNAcentral is "bacterial SSU rRNA". It matches the Rfam family "Bacterial small subunit ribosomal RNA", at positions 77 to 1314 of the family's 1533-position model. The record is from RNAcentral. Lineage: Bacteria; Pseudomonadati; Pseudomonadota; Gammaproteobacteria; Moraxellales; Moraxellaceae.
AGCUUGCUACCUGACCUAGCGGCGGACGGGUGAGUAAUGCUUAGGAAUCUGCCUAUUAGUGGGGGACAACAUUCCGAAAGGAAUGCUAAUACCGCAUACGCCCUACGGGGGAAAGCAGGGGAUCUUCGGACCUUGCGCUAAUAGAUGAGCCUAAGUCAGAUUAGCUAGUUGGUGGGGUAAAGGCCUACCAAGGCGACGAUCUGUAGCGGGUCUGAGAGGAUGAUCCGCCACACUGGGACUGAGACACGGCCCAGACUCCUACGGGAGGCAGCAGUGGGGAAUAUUGGACAAUGGGCGAAAGCCUGAUCCAGCCAUGCCGCGUGUGUGAAGAAGGCCUUUUGGUUGUAAAGCACUUUAAGCGAGGAGGAGGCUACUUGGAUUAAUACUCUAGGAUAGUGGACGUUACUCGCAGAAUAAGCACCGGCUAACUCUGUGCCAGCAGCCGCGGUAAUACAGAGGGUGCGAGCGUUAAUCGGAUUUACUGGGCGUAAAGCGUGCGUAGGCGGCUUUUUAAGUCGGAUGUGAAAUCCNUGAGCUUAACUUAGGAAUUGCAUUCGAUACUGGGAAGCUAGAGUAUGGGAGAGGAUGGUAGAAUUCCAGGUGUAGCGGUGAAAUGCGUAGAGAUCUGGAGGAAUACCGAUGGCGAAGGCAGCCAUCUGGCCUAAUACUGACGCUGAGGUACGAAAGCAUGGGGAGCAAACAGGAUUAGAUACCCUGGUAGUCCAUGCCGUAAACGAUGUCUACUAGCCGUUGGGGCCUUUGAGGCUUUAGUGGCGCAGCUAACGCGAUAAGUAGACCGCCUGGGGAGUACGGUCGCAAGACUAAAACUCAAAUGAAUUGACGGGGGCCCGCACAAGCGGUGGAGCAUGUGGUUUAAUUCGAUGCAACGCGAAGAACCUUACCUGGUCUUGACAUAGUAAGAACUUUCCAGAGAUGGAUUGGUGCCUUCGGGAACUUACAUACAGGUGCUGCAUGGCUGUCGUCAGCUCGUGUCGUGAGAUGUUGGGUUAAGUCCCGCAACGAGCGCAACCCUUUUCCUUAUUUGCCAGCGGGUUAAGCCGGGAACUUUAAGGAUACUGCCAGUGACAAACUGGAGGAAGGCGGGGACGACGUCAAGUCAUCAUGGCCCUUACGACCAGGGCUACACACGUGCUACAAUGGUCGGUACAAAGGGUUGCUACCUAGCGAUAGGAUGCUAAUCUCAAAAAGCCGAUCGUAGUCCGGAUUGGAGUCUGCAACUCG